UACAGAGACUGCAAGCGUUAUUCGGAUUCACUGGGCGUAAAGGGUGCGCAGGUGGCCAGGUGUGUUAGGCGUGAAAGCCCGGGGCUUAACCCCGGAAUUGCACCUAAAACUACUUGGCUAGAGCAUUGGAGAGGGGAGCAGAAUUCAUGGUGUAGCAGUGAAAUGCGUAGAUAUCAUGAGGAAUACCAGAGGCGAAGGCGGCUCCCUGGACAAUUGCUGACACUCAGGCACGAAAGCGUGGGGAGCAAAAGGG
This 253-nucleotide ribosomal RNA is filed under the name uncultured bacterium. RNAcentral describes it as "partial 16S ribosomal RNA". It matches the Rfam family "Bacterial small subunit ribosomal RNA", at positions 524 to 776 of the family's 1533-position model. The record is from RNAcentral.